This 92-nucleotide non-coding RNA is filed under the name Gracilibacter sp. Its description in RNAcentral is "c-di-GMP sequence". It matches the Rfam family "c-di-GMP-I riboswitch aptamer". Rfam says of the family: GEMM was predicted in a large-scale screen for bacterial structured RNA regulatory elements. Genes associated with GEMM are involved in a diverse array of functions, including chemotaxis regulation, signal transduction, secretion and chitin. Lineage: Bacteria; Bacillati; Bacillota; Clostridia; Eubacteriales; Gracilibacteraceae. The record is from RNAcentral.
AAUUGAAAAAGGCAAACUUGUUGGAAGACAAGGACGCAAAGCCACGGGUCUAAAGCGGUUACUGAUAUCGCUAUGAUAGCCGGGUUGCCGAA